ACGCUGGCGGCAGGCCUAACACAUGCAAGUCGAGCGGAUGAAGGGAGCUUGCUCCUGGAUUCAGCGGCGGACGGGUGAGUAAUGCCUAGGAAUCUGCCUGGUAGUGGGGGACAACGUUUCGAAAGGAACGCUAAUACCGCAUACGUCCUACGGGAGAAAGCAGGGGACCUUCGGGCCCUUGCGCUAUCAGAUGAGCCUAGGUCGGAUUAGCUAGUUGGUGAGGUAAUGGCUCACCAAGGCGACGAUCCGUAACUGGUCUGAGAGGAUGAUCAGUCACACUGGAACUGAGACACGGUCCAGACUCCUACGGGAGGCAGCAGUGGGGAAUAUUGGACAAUGGGCGAAAGCCUGAUCCAGCCAUGCCGCGUGUGUGAAGAAGGUCUUCGGAUUGUAAAGCACUUUAAGUUGGGAGGAAGGGCAGUAAAUUAAUACUUUGCUGUUUUGACGUUACCGACAGAAUAAGCACCGGCUAACUCUGUGCCAGCAGCCGCGGUAAUACAGAGGGUGCAAGCGUUAAUCGGAAUUACUGGGCGUAAAGCGCGCGUAGGUGGUUCGUUAAGUUGGAUGUGAAAUCCCCGGGCUCAACCUGGGAACUGCAUUCAAAACUGUCGAGCUAGAGUAUGGUAGAGGGGUGGUGGAAUUUCCUGUGUAGCGGUGAAAUGCGUAGAUAUAGGAAGGAACACCAGUGGCGAAGGCGACCACCUGGACUGAUACUGACACUGAGGUGCGAAAGCGUGGGGAGCAAAC
This 747-nucleotide ribosomal RNA is filed under the name uncultured bacterium. RNAcentral describes it as "bacterial SSU rRNA". It matches the Rfam family "Bacterial small subunit ribosomal RNA", at positions 33 to 773 of the family's 1533-position model. The record is from RNAcentral.